ACGAGCCUGGUGAUAGCUGGUUGCCCAGAACAGAAUCUUAGUUCAACUUUAAACUUGCCUCAAAACCCUAAAAUUCCAAUGUAAGUUUAAAACAUAGUCUAAAGGGGUACAGCUUUUUAGAAUUAGGAUACAGCCUUAAUUAGAGAGUAAGCACAUAACACUAAACCCAUAGUUGGCCUAAAAGCAGCCACCAAUUAAGAAAGCGUUCAAGCUCAACAAUUAAAACAUCUUAAUGUCAAAAUAAUGCAACCAACUCCUAAUUUAAAACUGGGCUAAUCUAUUUGAUAAUAGAAGCAAUAAUGCUAAUAUGAGUAACAAGAAGUAUUUCUCCCGUGCAUAAGCUUAUAUCAGAACGGAUAACCACUGAUAGUUAACAACAAGAUAAAUAUAACCUAAUUACAAGCAAAAUAUCAAACUAAUUGUUAACCCAACACAGGCAUGCAAUUCAGGGAAAGAUUAAAAGAAGUAAAAGGAACUCGGCAAACACAAGCCCCGCCUGUUUACCAAAAACAUCACCUCUAGCAUUUCCAGUAUUAGAGGCACUGCCUGCCCAGUGACAUUAGUUAAACGGCCGCGGUAUCCUGACCGUGCAAAGGUAGCAUAAUCAUUUGUUCCUUAAAUAGGGACUUGUAUGAAUGGCCACACGAGGGCUUUACUGUCUCUUACUUCCAAUCCGUGAAAUUGACCUUCCCGUGAAGAGGCGGGAAUAUGACAAUAAGACGAGAAGACCCUAUGGAGCUUUAAUUAACCGACCCAAAGAGACCUUGAUAAUCAACCGACAGGGAUAACAAACCUCUACCAUGGGUCGACAAUUUAGGUUGGGGUGACCUCGGAGAAUAAAACAACCUCCGAGUGAUUUAAAUCUAGACCAACCAGUCGAAAGUAUUACAUCACUUAUUGAUCCCAAAACUUGAUCAACGGAACAAGUUACCCUAGGGAUAACAGCGCAAUCCUAUUUCAGAGUCCAUAUCGACAAUAGGGUUUACGACCUCGAUGUUGGAUCAGGACAUCCCGAUGGUGCAGCAGCUAUCAAAGGUUCGUUUGUUCAACGAUUAAAGUCCUACGUGAUCUGAGUUCAGACCGGAG
RNAcentral lists this ribosomal RNA (1086 nucleotides) under Panthera uncia (snow leopard). RNAcentral describes it as "partial 16S rRNA". It matches the Rfam family "Bacterial large subunit ribosomal RNA", at positions 833 to 2621 of the family's 2925-position model. The record is from RNAcentral. Lineage: Eukaryota; Metazoa; Chordata; Mammalia; Carnivora; Felidae.